AGAGUUUGAUCCUGGCUCAGGAUGAACGCUAGCGACAGGCUUAACACAUGCAAGUCGAGGGGCAGCAGGGGCGUAGCAAUAUGCCUGCCGGCGACCGGCGCACGGGUGAGUAACACGUAUGUAACCUGCCCUAUGCAGGGGGAUAACCCGGAGAAAUCCGGCCUAAUACCGCGUAACACCUUAGGGGAGCAUUCUCUUGAGGUUAAAGGAGAGAUCCGGCAUAGGAUGGACAUGCGUCGCAUUAGGUAGACGGCGGGGUAACGGCCCACCGUGCCGACGAUGCGUAGGGGUUCUGAGAGGAAGGCCCCCCACACUGGUACUGAGACACGGACCAGACUCCUACGGGAGGCAGCAGUGAGGAAUAUUGGUCAAUGGCCGAGAGGCUGAACCAGCCAAGUCGCGUGAGGGAAGAAUGUCCUAAGGAUUGUAAACCUCUUUUGUCGGGGAGCAAAAAGGCUCUGCGGAGUCGUAUUGAGAGUACCCGAAGAAAAAGCAUCGGCUAACUCCGUGCCAGCAGCCGCGGUAAUACGGAGGAUGCGAGCGUUAUCCGGAUUUAUUGGGUUUAAAGGGUGCGCAGGCGGCGUGUCAAGCAAGCGGUAAAAUAGCGGGGCUCAACCCCGUCGAGCCGUUUGAACUGGCGCGCUUGAGUUCAGGCGAGGUAGGCGGAAUUCGUGGUGUAGCGGUGAAAUGCAUAGAUAUCACGAAGAACUCCGAUUGCGAAGGCAGCUUACCAGUCUGCGACUGACGCUCAGGCACGAAAGUGUGGGUAUCGAACAGGAUUAGAUACCCUGGUAGUCCACACAGUAAACGAUGAGCGCUAGGUGUCCGGGUCGCAUGAGACUUGGGUGCCCGAGCGAAAGCGUUAAGCGCUCCACCUGGGGAGUACGCCGGCAACGGUGAAACUCAAAGGAAUUGACGGGGGCCCGCACAAGCGGAGGAACAUGUGGUUUAAUUCGAUGAUACGCGAGGAACCUUACCCGGGCUCAAACGACUCAGGAAUAUAUUGGAAACGAUGUAGCCAGCAAUGGUCUGAGUCGAGGUGCUGCAUGGUUGUCGUCAGCUCGCGCCGUGAGGUGUCGGCUUAAGUGCCAUAACGAGCGCAACCCCUACCGCCAGUUGCCAACGGGUAAAGCCGGGAACUCUGGCGGGACUGCCGGCGCAAGCUGUGAGGAAGGCGGGGAUGACGUCAAAUCAGCACGGCCCUUACGUCCGGGGCGACACACGUGUUACAAUGGCAGGUACAGCGGGAAGCCACCUGGUGACAGGGAGCGGAACCCGAAAGCCUGUCUCAGUUCGGAUUGGAGUCUGCAACUCGACUCCAUGAAGCUGGAUUCGCUAGUAAUCGCGCAUCAGCCAUGGCGCGGUGAAUACGUUCCCGGGCCUUGUACUCACCGCCCGUCAAG
RNAcentral lists this ribosomal RNA (1403 nucleotides) under uncultured bacterium. RNAcentral describes it as "bacterial SSU rRNA". It matches the Rfam family "Bacterial small subunit ribosomal RNA". The record is from RNAcentral.